Long non-coding RNA from Cyphomyrmex costatus, 754 nucleotides. RefSeq lists it as uncharacterized. The transcript is spliced from 2 exons. NCBI's taxonomy places the organism in Eukaryota, Metazoa, Arthropoda, Insecta, Hymenoptera, Formicidae. The record is from RefSeq and is a predicted model, not a curated record.
UCAAGGCAGCAAGUCGUAGUGCUAGUGGCGACUGUCGCGAGAUACGUAUACGUACAAUAUACGUCCCGCGAGACACGAAAUGUCACUCGUUGCACGAGUGAUGCAACCUAUCGAGACAUGUAAUUUCGUAACAACUCGCAAUCGGCUGCAAAAAUGUAUUUUGCACCAUAGUGAAACGUCAAGGACGUGGCAACGAAAAAGUAUUCAUUCACGGCGUGAUAGGACCAAUCGAAAUUAAUCCGAGGGAAACGCAAGAUUACGCGAAAUUGAAGAAGAAUUCUCUUGGACUUUGAAGCGUCAUAACAGAAAUACUAAUUGGAGAUAAAUGUAAAGCUGAUCCUCCCACAUGCACGAAAUGAUACAAUCUAUUAUAAAACAUGUGAAACGUUUCUUCUAGAAUUGCAAUACAUUGAAAAUCUGCUACGUAUUUCUAUAAAGAGAUAAAAUCUCUUAUUUUGUUGAAUAUAAAUAUAUGUGUAUAUAUGAUACCUCGGUAUAAGACACAUAUAAUCAAGCAUUUUAAUCAUUAAUAAAUAGAAAUACUAUCAAAUACUAAAAUAAUUAUCUUGCCUAUAUAUGUCGUCCUUAUUUACUAUAUGUAUUAUAAAUAUUAAAAUCAGGCAAUCUGCAGAUUAUAUAUAAUGAAAAACCGCAACUUUACGUAAGAACGAAAUAAGCCAAUUUUGCAUAUCUAUACAUACGUAUGUAGAAAUCGAUGGAAACUCAAGACUAUUAAACUGAUUCGUUUCACGAA